RNAcentral lists this ribosomal RNA (515 nucleotides) under uncultured bacterium. Its description in RNAcentral is "bacterial SSU rRNA". It matches the Rfam family "Bacterial small subunit ribosomal RNA", at positions 798 to 1317 of the family's 1533-position model. The record is from RNAcentral.
CACGGUAAACGAUGGAUGCCCGCUGUCGGCGAUACACUGCCGGCGGCCAAGCGAAAGCGUUAAGCAUCCCACCUGGGGAGUACGCCGGCAACGGUGAAACUCAAAGGAAUUGACGGGGGCCCGCACAAGCGGAGGAACAUGUGGUUUAAUUCGAUGAUACGCGAGGAACCUUACCCGGGCUUGAACUGCCAGCGAACGAUACAGAGAUGUUGAGGCCCUUCGGGGCGCUGGUGGAGGUGCUGCAUGGUUGUCGUCAGCUCGUGCCGUGAGGUGUCGGCUUAAGUGCCAUAACGAGCGCAACCCCUUUCGUCAGUUGCCAUCAGGUUAUGCUGGGCACUCUGGCGACACUGCCACCGUAAGGUGUGAGGAAGGUGGGGAUGACGUCAAAUCAGCACGGCCCUUACGUCCGGGGCUACACACGUGUUACAAUGGGUGGUACAGAGAGUCGGUCGCAGGCAAUUGCGGUCUAAUCAUGAAAGCCAUCCUCAGUUCGGAUUGGGGUCUGCAACCCGACC